GUUAAUUUUUCUAAUUUCUGCUGAUUUUUCCCGUGGACCCACUGACUCUCCCACACAUUCUGCCUUAUGAUAGAAGCGCUUCUGUGAUGAAAGAAAGUAAGGCCUAUUCAUGGGAAAAGCUCUGUCUUGCACCACAUUUGGAGGAUGUGACACCAUGCGAACAUGGGAAGCUGGAAAGAGAAAGGACAGGCAUGGCAUGGAGUUUACUUUGCCAACACUGGGUUAUAAAUGUGUCUGGGACCUUGGCAUGUGUCUGUGUGGCCCAGGACUCCGAAGCAUCCCUGAGUUGCAGCCAGGAGGACCUGCAUCCAUGCACACAGCAAAACAGCCUUUUGCACUGACACGGUGGUGUAAAAAGGUGGGCCAAAAGCUGCUGUUUCAAGGCCAACAGGAAAAUAUAUUGCACUUCCCUUCUGUGUGCCACAAAGCCUUUCCUAGCAGGGCUCCUUCUGUGCUGCUUCAGGGCAGGAGGCUGCUUCCCCAUCCAAUGCUGCUGCACAGGCAAAGCUGGAACACGAAGCCCAUGUAGGCAAGGGCUAAUACUGCUUGAGCAAACAUGGAUGAAGAAAUAACUCUUUGGCAGAAAAGUUUUAAAGCUGCGAACAUUAAAUAUUACUAUGCAGUGAAAUGCUGGAGCAGUGAGAUCCAUAUACAUUCACCAUGGUCUAUAUCUCAUACAAGAGAGACAAGAUUUCAGGAAUAAGAAGAAACUGCUUUUAAGCUGAUUUCUAAUAAAACCAGGCUUAUUAUUUAAUGGUGUGAUUUAUGCCAGGAGGACUAUUGGUAGAGCCUGGCACUGCUG
Centrocercus urophasianus (Greater sage-grouse) is the source of this 802-nucleotide long non-coding RNA. RefSeq lists it as uncharacterized. The record is from RefSeq and is a predicted model, not a curated record. Lineage: Eukaryota; Metazoa; Chordata; Aves; Galliformes; Phasianidae. The transcript has 3 exons.